Molecule: ribosomal RNA, 481 nt
Filed under: uncultured bacterium
Lineage: Bacteria
Description: partial 16S ribosomal RNA
Rfam family: Bacterial small subunit ribosomal RNA
Source: RNAcentral
GAUGAACGCUGGCGGCGUGCUUAACACAUGCAAGUCGAACGAAGCAUUUAAGACAGAUUACUUCGGUUUGAAGUCUUUUAUGACUGAGUGGCGGACGGGUGAGUAACGCGUGGGUAACCUGCCUCAUACAGGGGGAUAGCAGCUGGAAACGGCUGGUAAUACCGCAUAAGCGCACAGUACCACAUGGUACAGUGUGAAAAACUCCGGUGGUAUGAGAUGGACCCGCGUCUGAUUAGCUUGUUGGCGGGGUAACGGCCCACCAAGGCGACGAUCAGUAGCCGACCUGAGAGGGAGACCGGCCACAUUGGGACUGAGACACGGCCCAGACUCCUACGGGAGGCAGCAGUGGGGAAUAUUGCACAAUGGAGGAAACUCUGAUGCAGCGACGCCGCGUGAGUGAAGAAGUAGUUCGCUAUGUAAAGCUCUAUCAGCAGGGAAGAUAGUGACGGUACCUGACUAAGAAGCUCCGGCUAAAUACGUG